Molecule: small RNA, 28 nt
Filed under: Bombyx mori (domestic silkworm)
Lineage: Eukaryota; Metazoa; Arthropoda; Insecta; Lepidoptera; Bombycidae
Description: ovarian small RNA-32286
Source: RNAcentral
UGAGUGUAUAUACAAUAAUUGCAUUGGU